UAUAUUGUUCAUCGAUUAGGCCUUUACCUGUUAAAUGAAUAAUCUGAUAAGAAGUCUGCAAUGCAUCAAGAUUUUCUCUGAUGAUACUAUUAAGCUUUUUACUUCCUAAACUGCCUCCCAUAACUAAUAGUACUUUUUUGUUAUCAUUAAACUCUGUGAGUUGAUAACC
This 169-nucleotide non-coding RNA is filed under the name Staphylococcus xylosus. RNAcentral describes it as "Staphylococcus sRNA 414". It matches the Rfam family "Staphylococcus sRNA 414". From Rfam's summary of the family: Antisense of an annotated CDS (SAOUHSC_1422) but was considered an trans-encoded sRNA rather than a typical antisense RNA. Target prediction revealed enrichment of iron-coding genes and genes with function in cofator metabolism. The record is from RNAcentral. Lineage: Bacteria; Bacillati; Bacillota; Bacilli; Caryophanales; Staphylococcaceae.